AGUGAACGCUGGCGGUAGGCCUAACACAUGCAAGUCGAACGGCAGCACAGUAAGAGCUUGCUCUUACGGGUGGCGAGUGGCGGACGGGUGAGGAAUACAUCGGAAUCUACUUUUUCGUGGGGGAUAACGUAGGGAAACUUACGCUAAUACCGCAUACGACCUACGGGUGAAAGCAGUGGAUCUUCGGACCUUGCGCGAUUGAAUGAGCCGAUGUCGGAUUAGCUAGUUGGCGGGGUAAAGGCCCACCAAGGCGACGAUCCGUAGCUGGUCUGAGAGGAUGAUCAGCCACACUGGAACUGAGACACGGUCCAGACUCCUACGGGAGGCAGCAGUGGGGAAUCUUGCACAAUGGGCGCAAGCCUGAUCCAGCCAUACCGCGUGGGUGAAGAAGGCCUUCGGGUUGUAAAGCCCUUUUGUUGGGAAAGAAAAGCAGCAGGUUAAUACCCCGCUGUUCUGACGGUACCCAAAGAAUAAGCACCGGCUAACUUCGUG
RNAcentral lists this ribosomal RNA (492 nucleotides) under uncultured bacterium. RNAcentral describes it as "partial 16S ribosomal RNA". It matches the Rfam family "Bacterial small subunit ribosomal RNA", at positions 29 to 507 of the family's 1533-position model. The record is from RNAcentral.